UGGGGAAUUUUGGACAAUGGGGGAAACCCUGAUCCAGCCAUCCCGCGUGUGCGAUGAAGGCCUUCGGGUUGUAAAGCACUUUUGGCAGGAAAGAAACGUCGCGGGUUAAUACCCCGCGAAACUGACGGUACCUGCAGAAUAAGCACCGGCUAACUACGUGCCAGCAGCCGCGGUAAUACGUAGGGUGCAAGCGUUAAUCGGAAUUACUGGGCGUAAAGCGUGCGCAGGCGGUUCGGAAAGAAAGAUGUGAAAUCCCAGAGCUUAACUUUGGAACUGCAUUUUUAACUACCGGGCUAGAGUGUGUCAGAGGGAGGUGGAAUUCCGCGUGUAGCAGUGAAAUGCGUAGAUAUGCGGAGGAACACCGAUGGCGAAGGCAGCCUCCUGGGAUAACACUGACGCUCAUGCACGAAAGCGUGGGGAGCAAACAGGAUUAGAUACCCUGGUAGUCCACGCCCUAAACGAUGUCAACUAGCUGUUGGGGGCCUUCGGGCCUUGGUAGCGCAGCUAACGCGUGAAGUUGACCGCCUGGGGAGUACGGUCGCAAGAUUAAACUUAAAGGAAUUGACGGGGGUGCAUAGCU
Molecule: ribosomal RNA, 580 nt
Filed under: uncultured bacterium
Lineage: Bacteria
Description: partial 16S ribosomal RNA
Rfam family: Bacterial small subunit ribosomal RNA
Source: RNAcentral